Molecule: transfer RNA, 73 nt
Filed under: Actinomycetota bacterium
Lineage: Bacteria; Bacillati; Actinomycetota
Description: Actinobacteria bacterium tRNA-Arg
Rfam family: tRNA
About the family: Transfer RNA (tRNA) molecules are approximately 80 nucleotides in length. Their secondary structure includes four short double-helical elements and three loops (D, anti-codon, and T loops).
Source: RNAcentral
GCCCUCGUAGCUCAGGGGAUAGAGCAACCGCCUCCUAAGCGGUAGGCCGCCAGUUCAAAUCUGGCCGAGGGCA